GUAGGGUCCAAGCGUUAAUCGGAAUUACUGGGCGUAAAGCGUGCGCAGGCGGUUGUGCAAGACCGAUGUGAAAUCCCCGGGCUUAACCUGGGAAUUGCAUUGGUGACUGCACGGCUAGAGUGUGCCAGAGGGGGGGUAGAAUUCCACGUGUAGCAGUGAAAUGCGUAGAGAUGUGGAGGAAUACCGAUGGCGAAGGCAGCCCCCUGGGAUAACACUGACGCUCAUGCACGAAAGCGUGGGGGGAGCAAACAGGAUUAGAUACCCUGGUAGUCCACGCCCCUAAACCGAUGUCAACUAGUUGUUGGGGUAUUCAUUUCCUUAGUAACGUGGCUAACGCGUGAAGUUGACCGCCUGGGAGUACGGUCGCAAGAUUA
This 374-nucleotide ribosomal RNA is filed under the name uncultured organism. RNAcentral describes it as "partial 16S ribosomal RNA". It matches the Rfam family "Bacterial small subunit ribosomal RNA", at positions 527 to 896 of the family's 1533-position model. The record is from RNAcentral.